This 1430-nucleotide ribosomal RNA is filed under the name uncultured organism. Its description in RNAcentral is "16S ribosomal RNA". It matches the Rfam family "Bacterial small subunit ribosomal RNA". The record is from RNAcentral.
GCGGCGUGCUUAACACAUGCAAGUCGAACGGAAAGGCCCUGCUUUUGUGGGGUGCUCGAGUGGCGAACGGGUGAGUAACACGUGAGUAACCUGCCCUUGACUUUGGGAUAACUUCAGGAAACUGGGGCUAAUACCGGAUAGGAGCUCCUGCUGCAUGGUGGGGGUUGGAAAGUUUCGGCGGUUGGGGAUGGACUCGCGGCUUAUCAGCUUGUUGGUGGGGUAGUGGCUUACCAAGGCUUUGACGGGUAGCCGGCCUGAGAGGGUGACCGGCCACAUUGGGACUGAGAUACGGCCCAGACUCCUACGGGAGGCAGCAGUGGGGAAUAUUGCACAAUGGGCGGAAGCCUGAUGCAGCAACGCCGCGUGCGGGAUGACGGCCUUCGGGUUGUAAACCGCUUUCGCCUGUGACGAAGCGUGAGUGACGGUAAUGGGUAAAGAAGCACCGGCUAACUACGUGCCAGCAGCCGCGGUGAUACGUAGGGUGCGAGCGUUGUCCGGAUUUAUUGGGCGUAAAGGGCUCGUAGGUGGUUGAUCGCGUCGGAAGUGUAAUCUUGGGGCUUAACCCUGAGCGUGCUUUCGAUACGGGUUGACUUGAGGAAGGUAGGGGAGAAUGGAAUUCCUGGUGGAGCGGUGGAAUGCGCAGAUAUCAGGAGGAACACCAGUGGCGAAGGCGGUUCUCUGGGCCUUUCCUGACGCUGAGGAGCGAAAGCGUGGGGAGCGAACAGGCUUAGAUACCCUGGUAGUCCACGCUGUAAACGGUGGGUACUAGGUGUGGGGUCCAUUCCACGGGUUCCGUGCCGUAGCUAACGCUUUAAGUACCCCGCCUGGGGAGUACGGCCGCAAGGCUAAAACUCAAAGGAAUUGACGGGGCCCCGCACAAGCGGCGGAGCAUGCGGAUUAAUUCGAUGCAACGCGUGGAACCUUACCUGGGUUUGACAUGGAUCGGGAGUGCUCAGAGAUGGGUGUGCCUCUUUUGGGGUCGGUUCACAGGUGGUGCAUGGCUGUCGUCAGCUCGUGUCGUGAGAUGUUGGGUUAAGUCCCGCAACGAGCGCAACCCUUGUUCACUGUUGCCAGCACGUUAUGGUGGGGACUCAGUGGAGACCGCCGGGGUCAACUCGGAGGAAGGUGGGGAUGACGUCAAGUCAUCAUGCCCCUUAUGUCCAGGGCUUCACGCAUGCUACAAUGGCUGGUACAGAGAGUGGCGAGCCUGUGAGGGUGAGCGAAUCUCGGAAAGCCGGUCUCAGUUCGGAUUGGGGUCUGCAACUCGACCUCAUGAAGUCGGAGUCGCUAGUAAUCGCAGAUCAGCAACGCUGCGGUGAAUACGUUCCCGGGGCUUGUACACACCGCCCGUCAAGUCAUGAAAGUUGGUAACACCCGAAGCCGGUGGCCUAACCGUUGUGGGGGAGCCGUCGAAGGUGGGACUGGUGAUU